RNAcentral lists this ribosomal RNA (496 nucleotides) under uncultured bacterium. Its description in RNAcentral is "partial 16S ribosomal RNA". It matches the Rfam family "Bacterial small subunit ribosomal RNA", at positions 29 to 523 of the family's 1533-position model. The record is from RNAcentral.
AUUGAACGCUGGCGGCAUGCUUUACACAUGCAAGUCGAACGGUAGAGGGGGCAACCCCUUGAGAGUGGCGAACGGGUGAGUAAUGCAUUGGAACGUGCCCAGUCGUGGGGGAUAACGCAGCGAAAGCUGUGCUAAUACCGCACACGAUCUCUGGAUGAAAGCGGGGGACCGAAAGGCCUCGCGCGAUUGGAGCGGCCGAUGGCAGCUUAGGUAGUUGGUGGGGUAAAGGCUCACCAAGCCAACGAUCUGUAGCUGGUCUGAGAGGACGACCAGCCACACUGGGACUGAGACACGGCCCAGACUCCUACGGGAGGCAGCAGUGGGGAAUUUUGGACAAUGGGCGCAAGCCUGAUCCAGCAAUGCCGCGUGCAGGAAGAAGGCCUUCGGGUUGUAAACUGCUUUUGUACGGAGCGAAAAGGUCUCCUCUAAUACAGGGGGCUCAUGACGGUACCGUAAGAAUAAGCACCGGCUAACUACGUGCCAGCAGCCGCGGUAA